CCUACGGGGGGCAGCAGUGGGGAAUAUUGGACAAUGGGGGGAAGUCUGAACCAGCCAUGCCGCGUGCAGGAAGACGGCUCUAUGAGUUGUAAACUGCUUUUGUCGGGGAGCAAAAGACGCCACGCGUGGCGUUCCGAGAGUACCCGAAGAAAAAGCAUCGGCUAACUCCGUGCCAGCAGCCGCGGUAAUACGGAGGAUGCGAGCGUUAUCCGGAUUUAUUGGGUUUAAAGGGUGCGCAGGCGGUCGGAUAAGUUAGAGGUGAAAUCCCGAGGCUCAACUUCGGAAUUGCCUCUGAUACUGUUCGGCUAGAGAGUAGUUGCGGUAGGCGGAAUGUAUGGUGUAGCGGUGAAAUGCUUAGAGAUCAUACAGAACACCGAUUGCGAAGGCAGCUUACCAAGCUACUUCUGACGUUGAGGCACGAAAGCGUGGGGAGCAAACAGGAUUAGAUACCCGAGUAGUC
Molecule: ribosomal RNA, 460 nt
Filed under: uncultured bacterium
Lineage: Bacteria
Description: partial 16S ribosomal RNA
Rfam family: Bacterial small subunit ribosomal RNA
Source: RNAcentral